UUAAGCUACAAAGGGCGUAGGGUGAAUACCUUGGCAUCAAGAGCCGAUGAAGGACGUGAUAAGCUGCGAUAAGCUAUGGGUAGGAGCAAAUAUCCACUAAUCCAUAGAUCUCCGAAUGAGGAAACUCAACUAGUAACAAUAUACUAGUUAUCCAUACAUGAGUAAAGUAGUGUAUGAGAAGGGAACGUGGGGAACUGAAACAUCUUAGUACCCACAGGAAAAGAAAGAAAAUAUUCGAUUCCUAGAGUAGUGGCGAGCGAAAUAGGAAGAGCCCAAACUGUAAGUAGUAAUACAUACAGGGUUCGGACUGCAUAAUCGAUUUAAUGAGUUUAGUAGAAGUGUUUUGGAAAAGCACACCAUAGAUGGUGAAAGUCCAGUAUGCGAAAAGCGAGUUAACGAGGCAGUAUCCAGAGUAGCACGAGGCACGUGGAAUCUCGUGUGAAUGUGUGGGGACCAUCCCAUAAGGCUAAAUACUACUUGAUGACCGAUAGUGAACGAGUACCGUGAGGGAAAGGUGAAAAGAACCCCGGGAGGGGAGUGAAAUAGAAUUUGAAACCCUAUGUUUACAAGCAGACAAAGCACGUUAAGGUGCGAUGUCGUACUUUUUGUAGAACGGUCCAGCGAGUUAUUGUAUAUGGCAAGGUUAAAUACUAAGUAAGGUAUGGAGCCGAAGCGAAAGCGAGUGUUAAUAGCGCGUUUAAGUCAUAUGUAAUAGACCCGAAACCGAGUGACCUAUCCAUGGUCAGGAUGAAGCUAGAGUAAAAUCUAGUGGAGGUCCGAACUGAUUGUCGUUAAAAAGGCACCGGAUGAACUGUGGAUAGCGGAGAAAUUCCAAUCGAACUCGGAGAUAGCUGGUUCUCCUCGAAAUAGCUUUAGGGCUAGCCUUGAGGUAAAGACGUAUGGGGGUAGAGCACUGAAUGAGCUAGGGGCCUAACCAGGUUACUGAACUCUAUCAAACUACGAAUACCAUAUUGUUAUACUCAGGAGUCAGACUGCGGGAGCUAAGUUCCGUGGUCAAAAGGGAAAGAGCCCAGAUCGUCAAUUAAGGUCCCAAAGAUAUAGCUAAGUGGAAAACGAUGUGAUUUUGCGUAAACAACCAGGAUGUUGGCUCAGAAGCAGCCACUCAUUCAAAGAGUGCGUAACAGCUCACUGGUCGAGUGAAAUUGCGCGGAAAAUUACCGGGGCUAAGCUAUACACCGAAAUUGCGGAUUCAAGGAUUUAUCCUUGAGUGGUAGAGGAGCAUUCUGUUGUAGGUUGAAGUAUGACCGUAAGGACAUGUGGACGAAGCAGAAGAGAGAAUGCUGGAAUAAGUAGCGAGAGCAAGGUGAGAAUCCUUGCCGUCGAAAGUCUAAGGUUUCCUGGGGAAGGUUCGUCCGCCCAGGGUUAGCCGGGAGCUAAGGCGAGGCCGAGAGGCGUAUCUGAUGGACAGCAGGUUGAUAUUCCUGCACUAUAGAUAUACUUAAAAGAUGCAAGGGACGCAGAAGUGGAAGGAAUGCGAGGAAGAGGAAAAACUCGUAUCGAAAGAUAUAGUGAAAAUAAAGUAACGAAUUUCCAAGAAGCACGCUGACGAGAAAAGCUUGUAGAUAUUGUAUAUAAAUACCCGUACCGCAAACCGACACAGGUAGAUGAGGAGAGGAUCCUAAGACGAGCGGGAGAAGCAUUGUUAAGGAACUCGGCAAAUUGACCCCGUAACUUCGGAAUAAGGGGUGCCUAUGUAAAAGUAGGCCGCAGAGAAUAGGCCCAAGCAACUGUUUAACAAAAACACAGGUUUCUGCUAAAUCGAAAGAUGAAGUAUAGGAGCUGACGCCUGCCCAGUGCUGGAAGGUUAAGGGGAAGAGUUAAGACUUGAUCUGAAGCUUAGAACCAAAGCCCCAGUGAACGGCGGCCGUAACUAUAACGGUCCUAAGGUAGCGAAAUUCCUUGUCAGGUAAGUUCUGACCCGC
Molecule: ribosomal RNA, 1943 nt
Filed under: human gut metagenome
Description: bacterial LSU rRNA
Rfam family: Bacterial large subunit ribosomal RNA
Source: RNAcentral